RNAcentral lists this ribosomal RNA (229 nucleotides) under uncultured bacterium. RNAcentral's name for it is "partial 16S ribosomal RNA". It matches the Rfam family "Bacterial small subunit ribosomal RNA", at positions 568 to 796 of the family's 1533-position model. The record is from RNAcentral.
UGCGUAGGCUGGCUAAUAAUUCAGUGGUGAAAUCUUCCGGCUCAACCGGGAACCUGCCAUUGAUACUGUUAGUCUUGAGUUCGGUUGAGGUAGGCGGAAUGUGUAAUGUAGCGGUGAAAUGCUUAGAUAUUACACAGAACAACAAUUGCGUAGGCAGCUUACUAGACCGACACUGACGCUGAGGCACGAAAGCGUGGGGAGCGAACAGGAUUAGAUACCCUGGUAGUCC